This 70-nucleotide transfer RNA is filed under the name Arria pallida. RNAcentral describes it as "tRNA-Gln". The record is from RNAcentral. Lineage: Eukaryota; Metazoa; Arthropoda; Insecta; Mantodea; Haaniidae.
UAUAUUUUGGUGUAAGAUGCACGGAAACUUUUGAUGUUUAAGGAAUACAGUUUAAUUCUGUUAAAUGUAG